GAUCAACGCUGGCGGCGUGCCUAACACAUGCAAGUCGAACGAUGAAGAUUAAACGAUUUCUUCGGAAUGAACUUAAUUGGAUUAGUGGCGGACGGGUGAGUAACGCGUGAGUAACCUGCCUUGUACAAGGGGAUAGCCGUUGGAAACGACGAAUAAUACCCUAUGACAUCAAAUAAUCGCAUGAUAAUUUGAUCAAAGAUUUAUCGGUAUAAGAUGGACUCGCGUCUGAUUAGCUAGUUGGUAGAGUAAAAGCCUACCAAGGCAACGAUCAGUAGCCGGCUUGAGAGAGUGUACGGCCACAUUGGGACUGAGACACGGCCCAGACUCCGGCGGGAGGCAGCAGUGGGGAAUUUUGCACAAUGGGGGAAACCCUGAUGCAGCGACGCCGCGUGAUUUAGAAGGCCUUCGGGUUGUAAAAAUCUUUUGUAUGGGAAGAAAAUGACAGUACCAUACGAAUAAGGACCGGCUAAUUACGUG
This 477-nucleotide ribosomal RNA is filed under the name uncultured bacterium. RNAcentral describes it as "partial 16S ribosomal RNA". It matches the Rfam family "Bacterial small subunit ribosomal RNA", at positions 28 to 507 of the family's 1533-position model. The record is from RNAcentral.